AGCGAACGCUGGCGGCAGGCCUAACACAUGCAAGUCGAACGAACUCUUCGGAGUUAGUGGCGGACGGGUGAGUAACACGUGGGAACGUGCCUUUAGGUUCGGAAUACCUCAGGGAAACUUGUGCUAAUACCGAAUGUGCCCUUCGGGGGAAAGAUUUAUCGCCUUUAGAGCGGCCCGCGUCUGAUUAGCUAGUUGGUGAGGUAAAGGCUCACCAAGGCGACGAUCAGUAGCUGGUCUGAGAGGAUGAUCAGCCACAUUGGGACUGAGACACGGCCCAAACUCGUACGGGAGGGAGCAGUGGGGAAUCUUGCGCAAGGGGCGAAAGCCUGACGCAGCCAUGCCGCGUGAAUGAUGAAGCUCUUAGGAUUGUAAAAUUCUUUCACCGGGGACGAUAAUGACGGUACCCGGAGAAGAAGCCCCGGCUAACUUCGUG
This 433-nucleotide ribosomal RNA is filed under the name uncultured bacterium. RNAcentral describes it as "partial 16S ribosomal RNA". It matches the Rfam family "Bacterial small subunit ribosomal RNA", at positions 29 to 507 of the family's 1533-position model. The record is from RNAcentral.